GGGUCAGUAGGUUGGUCGUGCCACCGGUACGUACUGGUCUCACUGAUUCCUCCUUCCUGAAGAACCGUAAUGCCAUUAAUUUGGUGUUGCGGGGAAACAGGACUGUUACUUUGCAAAAAUUAGAGUGUUUAAAGCAAGCUCACGCUUGAAUACAUUAGCAUGGAAUAAUGAAAUAGGACGAUCGAUCCUAUUUUGUUGGUUUCUAGGAUUGACGUA
This 216-nucleotide ribosomal RNA is filed under the name Glomeromycotina sp. Its description in RNAcentral is "partial small subunit ribosomal RNA". The stretch from base 40 to 216 matches the Rfam family "Eukaryotic small subunit ribosomal RNA", at positions 686 to 864 of the family's 1831-position model. Lineage: Eukaryota; Fungi; Glomeromycota. The record is from RNAcentral.